This 312-nucleotide ribosomal RNA is filed under the name Triticum aestivum (bread wheat). RNAcentral's name for it is "partial small subunit ribosomal RNA". Lineage: Eukaryota; Viridiplantae; Streptophyta; Magnoliopsida; Poales; Poaceae. The record is from RNAcentral.
AUGGCCACGCCAAUCACUAAAUUUGCUACCGAGACCACCAGAUUUAUGGAUGCAGCGUCGGCGACCACGGCAGCCGACGACCUCCAACAGGAGCCGCCGCCAGCAUAUAUCCUGCCACCGUACUUACAAAGGAUGCAGCCUGCGACGCCUCCGGCUCUCCGCUCUGCUGAACAGGAUGAACCUGCGCCGCCUGAACAACUUGAGCUCCGGCCGCCUGCCCGGCCUGCAUCUAUCUGGCCCCGAUUUGUCCCACUGGAUGUGGUGGUACUCCAACGGUUGCAAGAUGCACCGCGUAGCCUUCUUCCCAUCUGA